AGCGUACACGGUGGAUGCCCUGGCAGUCAGAGGCGAUGAAGGACGUGCUAAUCUGCGAUAAGCGUCGGUAAGGUGAUAUGAACCGUUAUAACCGGCGAUUUCCGAAUGGGGAAACCCAGUGUGAUUCGUCACACUAUCAUUAACUGAAUCCAUAGGUUAAUGAGGCGAACCGGGGGAACUGAAACAUCUAAGUACCCCGAGGAAAAGAAAUCAACCGAGAUUCCCCCAGUAGCGGCGAGCGAACGGGGAGCAGCCCAGAGCCUGAAUCAGUGUGUGUGUUAGUGGAAGCGUCUGGAAAGGCGCGCGAUACAGGGUGACAGCCCCGUACACAAAAAUGCACAUACUGUGAGCUCGAUGAGUAGGGCGGGACACGUGGUAUCCUGUCUGAAUAUGGGGGGACCAUCCUCCAAGGCUAAAUACUCCUGACUGACCGAUAGUGAACCAGUACCGUGAGGGAAAGGCGAAAAGAACCCCGGCGAGGGGAGUGAAAAAGAACCUGAAACCGUGUACGUACAAGCAGUGGGAGCACGCUUAGGCGUGUGACUGCGUACCUUUUGUAUAAUGGGUCAGCGACUUAUAUUCUGUAGCAAGGUUAACCGAAUAGGGGAGCCGAAGGGAAACCGAGUCUUAACUGGGCGUUAAGUUGCAGGGUAUAGACCCGAAACCCGGUGAUCUAGCCAUGGGCAGGUUGAAGGUUGGGUAACACUAACUGGAGGACCGAACCGACUAAUGUUGAAAAAUUAGCGGAUGACUUGUGGCUGGGGGUGAAAGGCCAAUCAAACCGGGAGAUAGCUGGUUCUCCCCGAAAGCUAUUUAGGUAGCGCCUCGUGAAUUCAUCUCCGGGGGUAGAGCACUGUUUCGGCAAGGGGGUCAUCCCGACUUACCAACCCGAUGCAAACUGCGAAUACCGGAGAAUGUUAUCACGGGAGACACACGGCGGGUGCUAACGUCCGUCGUGAAGAGGGAAACAACCCAGACCGCCAGCUAAGGUCCCAAAGUCAUGGUUAAGUGGGAAACGAUGUGGGAAGGCCCAGACAGCCAGGAUGUUGGCUUAGAAGCAGCCAUCAUUUAAAGAAAGCGUAAUAGCUCACUGGUCGAGUCGGCCUGCGCGGAAGAUGUAACGGGGCUAAACCAUGCACCGAAGCUGCGGCAGCGACGCUGAUGCGUUGUUGGGUAGGGGAGCGUUCUGUAAGCCUGCGAAGGUGUGCUGUGAGGCAUGCUGGAGGUAUCAGAAGUGCGAAUGCUGACAUAAGUAACGAUAAAGCGGGUGAAAAGCCCGCUCGCCGGAAGACCAAGGGUUCCUGUCCAACGUUAAUCGGGGCAGGGUGAGUCGACCCCUAAGGCGAGGCCGAAAGGCGUAGUCGAUGGGAAACAGGUUAAUAUUCCUGUACUUGGUGUUACUGCGAAGGGGGGACGGAGAAGGCUAUGUUGGCCGGGCGACGGUUGUCCCGGUUUAAGCGUGUAGGCUGGUUUUCCAGGCAAAUCCGGAAAACUAAGGCUGAGGCGUGAUGACGAGGCACUACGGUGCUGAAGCAACAAAUGCCCUGCUUCCAGGAAAAGCCUCUAAGCAUCAGGUAACAUCAAAUCGUACCCCAAACCGACACAGGUGGUCAGGUAGAGAAUACCAAGGCGCUUGAGAGAACUCGGGUGAAGGAACUAGGCAAAAUGGUGCCGUAACUUCGGGAGAAGGCACGCUGAUAUGUAGGUGAAGCGACUUGCUCGUGGAGCUGAAAUCAGUCGAAGAUACCAGCUGGCUGCAACUGUUUAUUAAAAACACAGCACUGUGCAAACACGAAAGUGGACGUAUACGGUGUGACGCCUGCCCGGUGCCGGAAGGUUAAUUGAUGGGGUCAGCGCAAGCGAAGCUCUUGAUCGAAGCCCCGGUAAACGGCGGCCGUAACUAUAACGGUCCUAAGGUAGCGAAAUUCCUUGUCGGGUAAGUUCCGACCUGCACGAAUGGCGUAAUGAUGGCCAGGCUGUCUCCACCCGAGACUCAGUGAAAUUGAACUCGCUGUGAAGAUGCAGUGUACCCGCGGCAAGACGGAAAGACCCCGUGAACCUUUACUAUAGCUUGACACUGAACAUUGAGCCUUGAUGUGUAGGAUAGGUGGGAGGCUUUGAAGUGUGGACGCCAGUCUGCAUGGAGCCGACCUUGAAAUACCACCCUUUAAUGUUUGAUGUUCUAACGUUGACCCGUGAUCCGGGUUGCGGACAGUGUCUGGUGGGUAGUUUGACUGGGGCGGUCUCCUCCUAAAGAGUAACGGAGGAGCACGAAGGUUGGCUAAUCCUGGUCGGACAUCAGGAGGUUAGUGCAAUGGCAUAAGCCAGCUUGACUGCGAGCGUGACGGCGCGAGCAGGUGCGAAAGCAGGUCAUAGUGAUCCGGUGGUUCUGAAUGGAAGGGCCAUCGCUCAACGGAUAAAAGGUACUCCGGGGAUAACAGGCUGAUACCGCCCAAGAGUUCAUAUCGACGGCGGUGUUUGGCACCUCGAUGUCGGCUCAUCACAUCCUGGGGCUGAAGUAGGUCCCAAGGGUAUGGCUGUUCGCCAUUUAAAGUGGUACGCGAGCUGGGUUUAGAACGUCGUGAGACAGUUCGGUCCCUAUCUGCCGUGGGCGCUGGAGAACUGAGGGGGGCUGCUCCUAGUACGAGAGGACCGGAGUGGACGCAUCACUGGUGUUCGGGUUGUCAUGCCAAUGGCACUGCCCGGUAGCUAAAUGCGGAAGAGAUAAGUGCUGAAAGCAUCUAAGCACGAAACUUGCCCCGAGAUGAGUUCUCCCUGACUCCUUGA
RNAcentral lists this ribosomal RNA (2787 nucleotides) under Escherichia coli. RNAcentral describes it as "bacterial LSU rRNA". It matches the Rfam family "Bacterial large subunit ribosomal RNA". The record is from RNAcentral. Lineage: Bacteria; Pseudomonadati; Pseudomonadota; Gammaproteobacteria; Enterobacterales; Enterobacteriaceae.